Molecule: small nuclear RNA, 84 nt
Organism: Heterocephalus glaber (naked mole-rat)
Lineage: Eukaryota; Metazoa; Chordata; Mammalia; Rodentia; Bathyergidae
Gene: U2
Rfam family: U2 spliceosomal RNA
About the family: U2 is a small nuclear RNA (snRNA) component of the spliceosome (involved in pre-mRNA splicing). Complementary binding between U2 snRNA (in an area lying towards the 5' end but 3' to hairpin I) and the branchpoint sequence (BPS) of the intron results the bulging out of an unpaired adenosine, on the BPS, which initiates a nucleophilic attack at the intronic 5' splice site, thus starting the first of two transesterification reactions that mediate splicing.
Source: Ensembl
AUCGCUUCUUGGCCUUUUGGCUAAGAUCAAGUGUAGUAUAAAUAAAAAGCAAAGUAAAAGAUUAUAGGAGGAGAUAUAUCUUUC